RNAcentral lists this ribosomal RNA (497 nucleotides) under uncultured bacterium. RNAcentral describes it as "partial 16S ribosomal RNA". It matches the Rfam family "Bacterial small subunit ribosomal RNA", at positions 28 to 507 of the family's 1533-position model. The record is from RNAcentral.
GAUGAACGCUGGCGGCGUGCCUAAUACAUGCAAGUCGAGCGAACAGACGAGGAGCUUGCUCCUCUGACGUUAGCGGCGGACGGGUGAGUAACACGUGGAUAACCUACCUAUAAGACUGGGAUAACUUCGGGAAACCGGAGCUAAUACCGGAUAAUAUAUUGAACCGCAUGGUUCAAUAGUGAAAGACGGUUUUGCUGUCACUUAUAGAUGGAUCCGCGCCGCAUUAGCUAGUUGGUAAGGUAACGGCUUACCAAGGCAACGAUGCGUAGCCGACCUGAGAGGGGGAUCGGCCACCCUGGAACUGAGACACGGUCCAGACUCCUACGGGAGGCAGCAGUAGGGAACCUUCCGCAAUGGGCGAAAGCCUGGCGGAGCAACGCCGCGUGAGUGAUGAAGGUCUUCGGAUCGUAAAACUCUGUUAUUAGGGAAGAACAAAUGUGUAAGUAACUAUGCACGUCUUGACGGUACCUAAUCAGAAAGCCACGGCUAACUACGUG